UACGAAGGGGGCUAGCGUUGCUCGGAAUCACUGGGCGUAAAGCGCGCGUAGGCGGCUUUGUAAGUUAGAGGUGAAAGCCCGGGGCUCAACCCCGGAAUUGCCUUUAAGACUGCAUCGCUUGAAUCCGGGAGAGGUGAGUGGAAUUCCGAGUGUAGAGGUGAAAUUCGUAGAUAUUCGGAAGAACACCAGUGGCGAAGGCGGCUCACUGGACCGGCAUUGACGCUGAGGUGCGAAAGCGUGGGGAGCAAACAGG
This 253-nucleotide ribosomal RNA is filed under the name uncultured bacterium. RNAcentral's name for it is "partial 16S ribosomal RNA". It matches the Rfam family "Bacterial small subunit ribosomal RNA", at positions 524 to 776 of the family's 1533-position model. The record is from RNAcentral.